GAUGAACGCUGGCGGAAUGCUUAACACAUGCAAGUCGAACGGAAUUUGGGUUUUUAACUUAGGUUUUGGUGGCGGACGGGUGAGUAACGCGUGAAGAACUCGCCUCACAGCUAGGGACAACAUUUGAAGACGAAUGCUAAUACCUAAUAUUAUAAUAAUAGGUCAUCCUAUAAUUAUGGAAGCUAUAAGCGCUGGGGGAUGGCUUUGCGUCCCAUUAGCUAGUUGGUGAGGUAACGGCUCACCAAGGCGAUGAUGGGUAGCCGGCCUGAGAGGGUGAUCGGCCACAAGGGACCUGGGACAGGGCCAGUACGCCUACGGGGGGAAGCGGUGGGAAAUAUGGGACAAUGGACCAAGAGUGUGAUCCAGCAAUUCUGUGUGCAAGAUGAAGUUUUUCGGAAUGUAAAGUGCUUUCAGUUGGGAAGGAAGAAAUGACGGUACCAACAGAAGAAGCAACGGCUAAAUACGUG
RNAcentral lists this ribosomal RNA (467 nucleotides) under uncultured bacterium. RNAcentral's name for it is "partial 16S ribosomal RNA". It matches the Rfam family "Bacterial small subunit ribosomal RNA", at positions 28 to 507 of the family's 1533-position model. The record is from RNAcentral.